UUUCGUUUUCUUUUUUCAUUUCCGAAAGUUUUCAAUUUCUAAAAUCUUAAGAAAUUUUCUACCCUAAGGCUGACAUGGCAUAAAAUUUCAACUCGUCUAAUUGACCGACACAAUAAAAUGAAAUUCACCAAUCUGAAAUUGACACGUGUUCUCCAAACACUUUUCUUUUUGACUUUUCAACCAUCACACAAAAUAAGACUUUUCAAACUAAAAAUGCUAACGUGUCAUAAAAUACCCAGUCAUUACAUCCUACCCCCUUAAAAGAAAUUUCGUCUCGAAAUUUAAACUAGC
RNAcentral lists this long non-coding RNA (291 nucleotides) under Vitis vinifera (wine grape). Its description in RNAcentral is "long non-coding RNA (VVIN_LNC000191)". Lineage: Eukaryota; Viridiplantae; Streptophyta; Magnoliopsida; Vitales; Vitaceae. The record is from RNAcentral.